GUAGCUGGGCGAUGCCUGAUGCAGCGACGCCGCGUGAGGGAUGACGGCCUUCGGGUUGUAAACCUCUUUCAGCAGGGACGAAGCGCAAGUGACGGUACCUGCAGAAGAAGCACCGGCUAACUACGUGCCAGCAGCCGCGGUAAUACGUAGGGUGCAAGCGUUGUCCGGAAUUACUGGGCGUAAAGAGUUCGUAGGCGGUUUGUCGCGUCGUUUGUGAAAACCAGCAGCUCAACUGCUGGCUUGCAGGCGAUACGGGCAGACUUGAGUACUGCAGGGGAGACUGGAAUUCCUGGUGUAGCGGUGAAAUGCGCAGAUAUCAGGAGGAACACCGGUGGCGAAGGCGGGUCUCUGGGCAGUAACUGACGCUGAGGAACGAAAGCGUGGGUAGCGAACAGGAUUAGAUACCCUGUGUAGUCCAAAUUGG
RNAcentral lists this ribosomal RNA (424 nucleotides) under Rhodococcus qingshengii. RNAcentral's name for it is "bacterial SSU rRNA". It matches the Rfam family "Bacterial small subunit ribosomal RNA", at positions 366 to 803 of the family's 1533-position model. Lineage: Bacteria; Bacillati; Actinomycetota; Actinomycetes; Mycobacteriales; Nocardiaceae. The record is from RNAcentral.